AUCUGAGGCUCGCAAGUGGCCAGGGACCAAAGGGCAACAGCCAGGGGGUAAAGAGAAGAGAAGGGUCAGAGCAGCAGAUGGGAGAGGAACUGGACCAGGAGAGUUGGAAGCAAGAAAAUGAUCUAUAGGCAAGGAAAGCUCGCCAGGAGGAUUCGAUUCGAGGGCUUCCAGCCUGGGGAUGAGGACAGGGUCUACCUCUGCAGCUUGGCCAACCCCCCUGGUGUUCUGAGUGCUCCAAGGAAGUCCAGGAGCCUGCUCAACCCUUGGUCCCUGACCUGUCAGCCACAAGCCCCAGCAGGACAGGAGUGGAGGUGAAGGCCCGGUGGGUGGCCAGCAAGGCUGGAGCGAAGGUCACGUCAGCCCCUGACGUCCUGGCAUCCAACAGGUGUCUGACCAGGGCCUCCAGAGUGCCAGCGCGAAGCCGUCGGGAGGACCGAGGGGGAGGCAAGGGAGCCUGGAGAACACGGAGCGUGUCUCACUGAGGGUCUCCUCCAUCCCAGGGCUAGAUCCAAGAGAACCCAGAUCUAGCCAUGGUUCAGAAAGGGCAAAGUCCACGGCUCAAGUCACACGACCGAGACCUCCAACCCUGAGCUCUGGCCACUAAAUAAAUAAAUAAUAAAUAAAAUCAAAGAAAGAACUGAGAGGUGAGAAGUCAAAUUCCAGACUCAUGACCUCACCAAGGGAUGAAGAGGCCGAUACUGGCGGCUUGUGACAGUAAAGGUGGCACCAUCCUCCUCCUCAUCCCAGACAGACACAGAAGCCUGGAGAAACAAGAAGAGGAAGUGAGUUCCACAGCACCUCCAGUCCCCAGCCACUGUGCCCAGGCCCUGCUCCUCCCUCUGUACCCCUCACCUGUGAUGGCGGGGGAUAAUACCAGCGAGUGCGAGGGGCAGAGGGUGCUGGUGACCCCAGGUCUACCCACCCUGGGGCUCAGACGACCCCCCAGCCACCUCGGAACUCGGUGGAACGGAAGAGGUAGCAGUGGGGGUUUCAACUGAAUGCAGGAACCCUUCUUCUGGACACCCCCAAAUCCCCUUGCCCCCACAGCUGAGCCCAACACAGCAGAAAAGCAGGGUGCGAAGUCAGGAGCAGAAGCCAGAAGAAGCACAAAGCCAAAGGCAGAGAGACCUGAGGCAGAGAAGCUGAAACUUCAGGCCGUCACAUGCCCCGCCCUCCCUGACAGAACCAGAGGAGCCCAAAUUUAGUCCUUCCGUAUAAAGUCCCUUUCCCCAGGUC
This is a long non-coding RNA of Meriones unguiculatus (Mongolian gerbil), 1236 nucleotides long. RefSeq lists it as uncharacterized. The transcript is spliced from 2 exons. NCBI's taxonomy places the organism in Eukaryota, Metazoa, Chordata, Mammalia, Rodentia, Muridae. The record is from RefSeq and is a predicted model, not a curated record.